Long non-coding RNA from Spinacia oleracea (spinach), 327 nucleotides. RefSeq lists it as uncharacterized. The transcript has 2 exons. NCBI's taxonomy places the organism in Eukaryota, Viridiplantae, Streptophyta, Magnoliopsida, Caryophyllales, Amaranthaceae. The record is from RefSeq and is a predicted model, not a curated record.
AGCUUUAGCCAAGAAGGAAGAAGAAAUGGAGAACCUUUCUCGUCCAUUAACCAGCACUCCAGAAACAAUCUGGUCUACACUCCGAGGAAUGCGCCUUAUGCUAGUGAGGAAAUUGAUGUGGUUCGUGAGCAAUGGACGAAGUUUUUUACCACCAAGUAUUUAUUAUUGACCUGAGGGCGGUUGAUCGAGUUGGUUUAGAUGUUAUAGAACAAUCUUUUAUGUUAAAAUGUAUGCGUACGUUGAAAUUGGAACGUAAAUAUAUUUAAAUGUAUCGGUAUGUGCACUUUUGGUUUUGGGAAAUAUACAAAACUCCAGUUGUUGUUUUUA